Molecule: ribosomal RNA, 454 nt
Filed under: uncultured bacterium
Lineage: Bacteria
Description: bacterial SSU rRNA
Rfam family: Bacterial small subunit ribosomal RNA
Source: RNAcentral
AGAGUUUGAUCAUGGCUACAGAACGAACGCUGGCGGCAUGCCUAACACAUGCAAGUCGAACGAGACCUUCGGGUCUAGUGGCGCACGGGUGCGUAACGCGUGGGAAUCUGCCCUUCGGUUCGGAACAACAGUUAGAAAUGACUGCUAAUACCGGAUAAUGACGUAAGUCCAAAGAUUUAUCGCCGAAGGAUGAGCCCGCGUAAGAUUAGGUAGUUGGUGGGGUAAUGGCCUACCAAGCCGACGAUCUUUAGCUGGUCUGAGAGGAUGAUCAGCCACACUGGGACUGAGACACGGCCCAGACUCCUACGGGAGGCAGCAGUGGGGAAUAUUGGACAAUGGGCGAAAGCCUGAUCCAGCAAUGCCGCGUGAGUGAUGAAGGCCUUAGGGUUGUAAAGCUCUUUUACCAGGGAUGAUAAUGACAGUACCUGGAGAAUAAGCUCCGGCUAACUCCGUG